UAUUGCACAAUGGGGGGAACCCUGAUGCAGCGACGCCGCGUGAGGGAAGAAGGUUUUUGGCUUGUAACCCUCUGUCCUUGGUAAAGAAGCAAGACGGUAGCCAAGGCGGAAGCCUCGGCUAACUACGUGCCAGCAGCCGCGGUAAUACGUAGGUGGCAAGCGUUGUCCGGAAUUACUGGGUGUAAAGGGAGCGUAGGCGGUUAUGCAAGUUGAAUGUGAAAUCUAUCGGCUCAACUGAUAGGCUGCGUUCAAAACUGUAUAUCUUGAGUGAAGUAGAGGCAGGCGGAAUUCCUAGUGUAGCGGUGAAAUGCUUAGAUAUCACGAAGAACUCCGAUUGCGAAGGCAGCUCACUAGACUGCAACUGACACUGAUGCUCGAAAGUGUGGGUAUCAAAC
Molecule: ribosomal RNA, 395 nt
Filed under: uncultured bacterium
Lineage: Bacteria
Description: bacterial SSU rRNA
Rfam family: Bacterial small subunit ribosomal RNA
Source: RNAcentral